UUGACGGGGACCCGCACAAGCAGCGGAGCGUGUGGUUUAAUUCGUUGCUACACGAAGAACCUUACCUGGGUUUGACAUAUAGGUUGUAGGGAACUGAAAGGGACCGACCUUCGGGAGCCUAUACAGGUGUUGCAUGGCUGUCGUCAGCUCGUGUCGUGAGAUGUUCGGUUAAGUCCGCUAACGAGCGCAACCCUCGUCGUAUGUUAUAUGUGUCAUACGAGACUGCCGGUAAAAGCCGGAGGAAGGUGAGGAUGAUGUCAAGUCAGCAUGACCUUUAUAUCCAGGGCUACACACACGCUACAAUGGUCUGUACAAUGGGUAGCCAAGCCGCGAGGCGGAGCCAAUCCUGAAAGCAGGCCUCAGUUCAGAUUGCAGUCUGCAACUCGACUGCAUGAAGCCGGAGUUGCUAGUAACCGCAGGUCAGCAAUACUGCGGUGAAUACGUUCCCGGGUCUU
RNAcentral lists this ribosomal RNA (455 nucleotides) under uncultured Anaerolineaceae bacterium. RNAcentral's name for it is "bacterial SSU rRNA". It matches the Rfam family "Bacterial small subunit ribosomal RNA", at positions 910 to 1382 of the family's 1533-position model. Lineage: Bacteria; Bacillati; Chloroflexota; Anaerolineae; Anaerolineales; Anaerolineaceae. The record is from RNAcentral.